CGAACAACGUCCUGAACUCACCACAAGGUUGAUUAGGCACAACACACAACGAGGUAUAUGAUUUAAGAACUAGCCCCAACGUGGUGGAAUACAUAGGAAAAUAGGACUAUCACCACCUGCCACUACCACAGCUAUCUAGAGGACUAGCCACAAACUGAGAUAAUGUAUAGUCUAACCACCACACCUACACUAUAUGAUACUACUCUAAUCCCGCGCAACAACUAGAGCACUAACUAGCGGCG
RNAcentral lists this long non-coding RNA (242 nucleotides) under Sorghum bicolor (sorghum). RNAcentral's name for it is "long non-coding RNA (SBIC_LNC012950)". The record is from RNAcentral. Lineage: Eukaryota; Viridiplantae; Streptophyta; Magnoliopsida; Poales; Poaceae.